RNAcentral lists this ribosomal RNA (433 nucleotides) under uncultured bacterium. RNAcentral's name for it is "partial 16S ribosomal RNA". It matches the Rfam family "Bacterial small subunit ribosomal RNA", at positions 29 to 507 of the family's 1533-position model. The record is from RNAcentral.
AGCGAACGCUGGCGGCAGGCCUAACACAUGCAAGUCGAACGAACUCUUCGGAGUUAGUGGCGGACGGGUGAGUAACACGUGGGAACGUGCCUUUAUGUUCGGAAUAACUCAGGGAAACUUGUGCUAAUACCGAAUGUGCCCUUCGGGGGAAAGAUUUAUCGCCUUUAGAGCGGCCCGCGUCUGAUUAGCUAGUUGGUGAGGUAAAGGCUCACCAAGGCGACGAUCAGUAGCUGGUCUGAGAGGAUGAUCAGCCACAUUGGGACUGAGACACGGCCCAAACUCCUACGGGAGGCAGCAGUGGGGAAUCUUGCGCAAUGGGCGAAAGCCUGACGCAGCCAUGCCGCGUGAAUGAUGAAGGUCUUAGGAUUGUAAAAUUCUUUCACCGGGGACGAUAAUGACGGUACCCGGAGAAGAAGCCCCGGCUAACUUCGUG